Long non-coding RNA from Sphaerodactylus townsendi, 1125 nucleotides. RefSeq lists it as uncharacterized. NCBI's taxonomy places the organism in Eukaryota, Metazoa, Chordata, Lepidosauria, Squamata, Sphaerodactylidae. The record is from RefSeq and is a predicted model, not a curated record. The transcript has 3 exons.
GUUUAAGAGGUUGACAUUUCUGCCAGUAGUGGCAAAAAGAAGAGAGCUUGCGAAGGAAAGGAGGCAUCUUCGGUUAAAGUCAGAGAGACAGAGUUUUGAAAGAGGCCAUCGCUAGUGGAGGUCAGAAUACAAAGGUUCCAGACAGGAUGUUCUACGAAGCUACAAAAUCACUGACUAAACAACUGGAUCCAGGAGGAGACUUCAUCCCAGUCCGCUGCCCCGCAGACCACAACCAUUUCAGAGUUCUGUGUCUGGUCCAAAGGAACAGCAAGAACCCAUGGUGGCAGAAGAACCAUUACUAUAAAACUGAUUACAAGCUAAGUGAUGUGCUCUUGCCAGGGCAGCACACUGCAAAAUGAGAUAUCUGCGAUUCAGAUUCAUUCACCAUUGUGGACCAAGUGGAUGGAAAAGUAGAGGGGGAUGUGUGUGUGGCUACUGACGUAGCAGCCUUGAGACUGGAAAGCAGAGCCAAUCUGUCUCAUGCAAAAUCUGUAAAAGUGAAAAAGAGGCACGUCAGUUCUCAAGUUCUCGAUUCUCUAGAUGGGAGCAGGUAAGCUGGAAAAGAGCAGAUAUGUGGGUAUCCACCUCCAAGACCCGACCAGAACUAAAACCUGAAGACAACCAAACAUUCUCUCGCCACCACUUUCAUUCAUUCUGUUUCUGAGGUCUCCAAGAGAGCCCUACUCAUUCCCCACCAGGGAGGAACAUGAGAAAAUGAUGCUCUGAGGUCUUCCCCACUAACGAAUCCAAAGCACAAAACAGGGGGGAAACAAGAAAUUCUGUAUCACUAUCUCACUUUUAUCCUGUCAUUCCUCCAAGGAGCAAGAAUUUGCAUGAAUUAUAGACUCACCUGUAAUGCAUCACAACAUCCAGGAAAAGUGUGUUAUGAUUAUAUGUUCAUAAAUAUGAAACUCAACAAUAUGCACCACCAUGAUUUCCGGUGAUAAAACUGAUAAUGGAAUGCAAUUUCAAAUAUACAUUAACUGUUGUCCAAGACAAGAAAAGUUUGGGUUCAUAUUCCCCCUUUCCUGUAAGGAGACUCAAAGGGGCUUACAAUCUCCUUUCCCUCCCCCCUCCCCAACAAACACGUUGUGAGGUGGGUGGGGCUGAGAGAGCUCCAUAGAA